Acanthochromis polyacanthus (spiny chromis) is the source of this 4746-nucleotide RNA transcript. It is a transcript of the gene named dihydropyrimidinase like 4, with no coding region annotated. The record is from RefSeq and is a predicted model, not a curated record. The transcript has 15 exons. Lineage: Eukaryota; Metazoa; Chordata; Actinopteri; Pomacentridae.
CCGGCAGAUGUUUGAGGGACGACGGGGUGACGUCAGAAGCGACAUCAUCAACAAUAGCUGCUGUGUGAGCGCGCGUGCGAGUGGAUCAAUCAGCCGAUCUCGAAUCGAUCAAGGAUGUCGUUCCAAAACAAGAAGAACAGCACGAGACCCGCGGGCGACCGCCUGGUCAUCAAAGGAGGAAAAGUGGUGAAUGACGACCAGUCGUUCUACGCAGACGUCUACAUCGAGGACGGGACCAUCAAACAGAUCGGUGAAAACCUGAUCGUCCCGUCCGGUGUGAAGACUGUGGACGCCUACGGUCAGCUGGUGAUCCCCGGAGGCAUCGAUGCCAACACCAGUCUGCACGCCCCGCAGAAAGGCCUGAACCCGGCCGACGACUUCUACCACGGAACCAGAGCCGCCCUGUCCGGAGGAACCACCACCAUCAUGGACCACGUGUUGGUGGAACCAGGGACUAGCUUACUGUCAGCGUUUGAUCAGUGGAAGGAGACGGCAGAGCAGCAGGCGUGCUGCGACUUCUCCCUCCACCUGGACAUCACCCGCUGGCAUGAAGGGCUGUACGAGGAGCUGGAGACACUGGUCAAAGAUAAAGGUGUGAACUCCUUCCUGCUCUUCAUGACCUACAAAGAUAAAUUCCAGAGCUCCGACUCUCAGCUCUACGAGGCAUUCGGGGUUCUUCGGGAUCUCGGAGCGAUGGCACAGGUCCACGCUGAGAAUGGUGACAUCAUUGAUGAGGAGCAGAAGAAGCUUCUGUGUCUCGGCAUCACUGGACCUGAAGGACAUGUUUUAUCUCACCCUGAAGAGGUGGAGACGGAGGCGGUGUAUCGGGCCAUCACCAUUGCCAAACAGGCCAACUGCCCCCUGUACGUUACCAAGGUGAUGAGUAAAUCUGCUGCUGAUGUCAUCGCUAAAGCAAGGAAGAAAGGUAUGGUGGUGUACGGGGAACCAAUCACAGCCAGCCUGGCUACUGACGGCUCUCAGUAUUGGUCCAAAGACUGGGCCACAGCUGCUGCCUUCGUCAUGAGCCCACCCCUCAAUCCAGACCCUUCAACUCCGCAGUAUCUGACCUCCUUGUUAGCAUGUGGGGACCUCCAGGUGACCUCCAGUGCUCAGGCCAGCUUCUCCACCGCUCAGAAAGCUGUUGGUAAAGACGACUUCACUUUGAUCCCGGAGGGAACCAACGGCGUCGAGGAGAGGAUGUCGGUGGUCUGGGACAGAGCUGUGUCGACGGGGAAGAUGGAUGAGAAUGAGUUUGUUGCAGUAACGAGCACCAAUGCUGCUAAACUCUUCAACAUGUACCCUCGUAAAGGAAGGAUCGCCGUCGGAUCGGACGCCGACAUCGUCAUCUGGAACCCGAAGGAAACACGAACUGUUUCUGCAAAGUCUCAUAACCUGACGCUGGAGGUCAACAUCCUGGAGGGUCUGGAGCUUCGAGGCGUCGCAUCGCUGGUGAUCAGUGCCGGCCGAGUCGUCCUGGAGGAUGGAAAGCUCACCGUCGCAGAAGGUUCUGGACGCUUCAUUCCCAGAAAGGCAUUUCCAGACACCGUCUAUAAGAGGAUCAAAGCCCGCAGCAAGGUAGCAAACAGAUGGCCGAGGCUCGCGGCGUUCCACGUGGAAACUAUGAUGGUCCGGUCCAUGAUGUCAUCAGUAUGACCAAAUCGGUCCCACCCACUCCGACCACCAGGGGGCCCCCAUGUCCAAAGACCCAGCCUGGUCCCCGAAACCUCCACCAAUCAGGAUUCACCCUGGCUGGAGCUCAGAUUGACGACCACAUCCCUCGCCGCUCGGCUCAGAGGAUCGUAGCGCCUCCUGGUGGUCGGUCCAACAUCACGUCGUUAUCGUAAAGAGUCAGAGAGUGGCUUCAGUUUGUUCUGAAGUUCCUGCGUUUCUACCAACAGCUGAAUCUUAGUACAGUGGUACUGUAGUUAGCGCUGAAUGUUACAACUUGGUGUUUUGAAUCUUCUCAGAAAUCCAACUUUACUGAAUAACGUUUCAUCAUGUCCUUCCUAAAACUCGUCCUCAUGUCUGUCAGCUCUGACAGUAGUCAUAGUAGUGAUAGUAGUAGAAGUACAACCAUGUUUCCUUUCACCUGACUGUACCAUUGAUUCACCUAUCAGACCUCUCCAGGUGUUUCUCUCUGACAGCUGGAAACAUCCUCGUCUUUCCAUGAACUCUGUGUGUUUGUUGUGAAUUCGAUCCACUGUAGUCAGUCUGGAACAGGACCUGAUUGAAUCAAUCAGUCAGUAUUGUUUGAUCAGCUUCGUCUCUGAAUCAGACUAACGCUGUGGAUGGUGCUAAUAAAUCCAGUGUAGCCUGCUAGUAGCAAUCCCUUCAAACCACGCCCCCUGCAGGAAGUAAACACAUUGACCCCACCCCCACAAGUGUGAAGCACUGAUGUCAUCAUCACAGAAACAGCUGAUCAUAGAUGUAUUAACGAGCCCACUGCACAUGCUCACUACAGUUUCUGACGUCCAUCAUUCCAUCAGUUCUGACAGUUUCCCUUAAUUAAAGGACUUUUUUAGUCAUUAGUCAGUGUGGGAUCGAGACCUUUUAAAGGAAGUAACAUUGUUACUGCCCUUUAACAGCUGACCUCCGGGAGGCAUUGUACGACUGGAUCCAGCUGGAAGACGUCAAUAACAUCGACCACAACCUCUGACGACCCUACAACUGACCUGUUUUCAGCGUGUGAUGUCACAGUUGUCUCCUCCAAUAGCUAGCCUGCUAUGGCCUCUGAUUUUUACUGGUGUGGUUGGUUUCUAAAGAAUCCACGAUCAUUUUGUAUUUUUUACAGUUUUUGUAACCUGGAGUUGUUAGCAUGAGCAUAGUGUUAGCAUUAGUGUAGUAUUAGCAUAGUGUUAGCAUCAAUGUAGUAUUAGCAUGGUGUUAGCAUUAGCGUAGUGUUAGCAUCAAUGUCGUAUUAGCAUAGUGUUAGCAUAGAGUCCAUGCAGCCACCAGCAGUCAUUUUGGUGCUUCGCUGUUGCUAUAGUAACAUGUUGUUAGAGGAUGUGAUGGAGAACAGACGGUGUACAUCAGCAGAGUACAGCCAAGUGAUUCUAAACUUUGUCCCCUCACAGUAAUCAGAUUGCUUCUGUCUCUGGUAUCAGAUUACAAACUCAGAUUCUAUAUUAAAUUCAGGCUCCACAGCAGGAACCUGGUGGAACUAAGGUGAGGUUCUUUGGUUUCUCCUUCAGUCCUGAGCAUGGAGGAGACCAGAGUCCACUCGUUUCUGCUCACAUCUUCUCACAUUCUUCUGUGUUCUUCAGCUGCUCUUUGCUGGAGGGGUUGUGUUGCUCUACCUUUCUUUGGAGAACACCUCAAAGGUCCUGCUGGCUUCAGGACUCACACUGUCCAGGUCCUGGUUCCACUUGGUUCUAGUGGAGAAGCUCUGGUGUGAUGUUGUCCCUUGGAUGUUCUCCUGCUGGAAUGUUCCUCUUCUUCAUCUGGUCAGCCAGUAGUCUUGUUCCUCCUCAGACCUUCAUGCUGCAUCUAAAAAUGUCUUCAACACCUUCUGACCUCAUGCAGCCCCAGAUCAUCACACUCCCACCUCCGUGCUUCACUGUCAGGACCAUCCAUCCACUGUGGUAGUCCUGGUCAGGUUCUCACCAAACAUCUGGACUCCAUCUGAGCCCAACUCAUUGAUCUUCAUCUGACCAGAGAGUGUUAUCCAGCAUCCAUCAGGCUUCUUCUCAUGUUCUUCAGCAAACUUUCAUCUGGAAAUUUAGUUCUGAGCAGCCACCAGGUUUAGUUCUGGUCCUCCGUCCAUAGAGGAUGAUGUUCUGAAGGUUCCUCCACACUGUCUGAGCUUCACACUAACUCUGGUUUCCAUGGAGAACCCUUGAACCAAGUCUGAAGCAGCUGAUGUCUGUUUUUACAGCUGGAUGGAGAAAGUAGUUCACUGUCUGUGGAGUCAUUUUAGGAGCUCUGAUCAGUGGAACUAUGACUCCUUCUAGACCUCCUGAUUAGUGGAACUAUGACUCCUAGACUUCCUGAUUAGUGGAACUAUGACUCCUCAGAUGUUUUUCUUCCUCUGUUCAGUUCUUCUCCAUGUGGAACCAUGAUGCAGACAUAGAUAGACCCAGUCCAUAGGUCCAGAACUGAGAACGUUCUGCUGUUUUCAGCUCCUUUUAGAACCAUGUUCAUCGGGUAGACUGACUGAAUCACAGCUGGACUCAGUUUGGUUCUUUUGAGUUCCUAAUCUGGCUUUCUAAGUCUUUGGUAAAGGAUUUGUACGUGCCCUAAACAUUUAGUGACACCUCUUCUUGUUGUUCAUAUGGUCAAACUGAUUCCACAUGAAGCUAUAGCAGCUAGCUUAGCUUAGCUGACAGAAAAUAGAGGAAACAAGUAGCUUAGCUUAGAUUAAAGACUGGAAACAGGGAAGCAGCUAGCUUAGCUUAGCUGCUAGAAAACAGAGAAAAUAGCUAGCUUAGCUUAGCUGUCAGAAAACAGAGGAAGCAACUAGCUUAGAUUAAAGAUUGGAAACAGGGAAGCAGCUAGCUUAGCUUAGCUUAAAGACUGGAAACACCUGGUUACAGCUGGAUCCAACAUGGCGGUGGUGCUUUUUCCAUCCUGUCAGAUGUGCUGGAGCCAAAAUGGAGGACUGAGCUCUUUGUGCUACCAUGGCAGUAUGUACAGGAGGGUGUUACCAUGGCGACAGUGCUUCUGUUGUUGUUGUUGUUGUUCCUGUGGUGAAUGUAAAAAUUCUUCAUGUUGUGAUGAGAGCUGCAUGAAUAAACCAGAGAAACACAA